AUUCUCUAACGGCUUACGGAUAGCUUGCUCCUGGUGGCGAGUGGCGAACGGGUGAUUAAUGCAUCGGAACGUACCGUGUACUGGGGGAUUGCGUAUCGAAUUUUACCCUCAUACCUGAUACGCCCUGAGGUGGACCGCGGUUGAUCGCCUUACCUCGCGCUACCCUAUCGGCCGAUGUCGGAUUAGCUAAUUGGUGGGGUAAAGGCCCCCUUCCCCGACGAUCCGCAGCGGGUCUGACAGGAGGAUCCUGCACACUGGGACUGAUUGUCGGCCCACACUCCUACGGGAGGUUACAGUGGGGAAUUUUGGACCUGGGGGCAACCCUGAUCCAGCCAUGCCUCGUGGGUGAAGAAGGCCUUCGGGUUGUAGAGCCCUUUCGUCCCGGAUUAAAUCGCAAAUGACCUUACCCUGAGUGGAUGAUCGUACCUGAAUAGGAAACACCGGCUAACUACGGGCCAUGGCCCGCUGUAAUACGUAUGGUGCUAGCGUUAAUCUUAGUUACUGAGCUGACAGCGUGCGCUGGCGGGUACCUAUAACGGAAGUCACCUCCUCGGAGUCUGCCUGGGAACUGCGUUAAUGACUGCGAAGCUAGAGUACAGCAGA
Molecule: ribosomal RNA, 603 nt
Filed under: uncultured beta proteobacterium
Lineage: Bacteria; Pseudomonadati; Pseudomonadota; Betaproteobacteria
Description: bacterial SSU rRNA
Rfam family: Bacterial small subunit ribosomal RNA
Source: RNAcentral